GACGAACGCUGGCGGCGUGCUUAACACAUGCAAGUCGAACGGAAAGGCCCUGCUUUUGUGGGGUGCUCGAGUGGCGAACGGGUGAGUAACACGUGAGUAACCUGCCCUUGACUUUGGGAUAACUUCAGGAAACUGGGGCUAAUACCGGAUAGGAGCUCCUGCUGCAUGGUGGGGGUUGGAAAGUUUCGGCGGUUGGGGAUGGACUCGCGGCUUAUCAGCUUGUUGGUGGGGUAGUGGCUUACCAAGGCUUUGACGGGUAGCCGGCCUGAGAGGGUGACCGGCCACAUUGGGACUGGGAUACGGCCCAGACUCCUACGGGAGGCAGCAGGGGGGAAUAUUGCACAAUGGGCGAAAGCCUGAUGCAGCAACGCCGCGGGCGGGAUGACGGCCUUCGGGUUGUAAACCGCUUUCGCCUGUGACGAAGCGUGAGUGACGGUAAUGGGUAAAGAAGCACCGGCUAACUACGU
This 467-nucleotide ribosomal RNA is filed under the name uncultured bacterium. RNAcentral describes it as "partial 16S ribosomal RNA". It matches the Rfam family "Bacterial small subunit ribosomal RNA", at positions 28 to 506 of the family's 1533-position model. The record is from RNAcentral.